Molecule: ribosomal RNA, 403 nt
Filed under: uncultured Paracoccaceae bacterium
Lineage: Bacteria; Pseudomonadati; Pseudomonadota; Alphaproteobacteria; Rhodobacterales; Paracoccaceae
Description: bacterial SSU rRNA
Rfam family: Bacterial small subunit ribosomal RNA
Source: RNAcentral
GGGGAAUAUUGCGCAAUGGGGGAAACCCUGACGCAGCAACGCCGCGUGAAGGAAGAAGGUCUUCGGAUUGUAAACUUUUGUCUUAUGGGAAGAAUAAAUUACGGUACCAUAGGAGGAAGUCACGGCUAACUACGUGCCAGCAGCCGCGGUAAUACGAAGGGGGCUAGCGUUGUUCGGAAUUACUGGGCGUAAAGCGCACGUAGGCUGACUUUUAAGUCAGGGGUGAAAUCCCGGGGCUCAACCUCGGAACUGCCUUUGACACUGGAAGUCUUGAGUCCGAGAGAGGUGAGUGGAACUCCGAGUGUAGAGGUGAAAUUCGUAGAUAUUCGGAAGAACACCAGUGGCGAAGGCGGCUCACUGGCUCGGUACUGACGCUGAGGUGCGAAAGCGUGGGGAGCAAACA